Molecule: microRNA precursor, 101 nt
Filed under: Marmota monax (woodchuck)
Lineage: Eukaryota; Metazoa; Chordata; Mammalia; Rodentia; Sciuridae
Source: RNAcentral
AGUGGAAAUGCUGAAUUAUAUGGUAAUUCUGUUUCAUUUGUUGAGAAACCACCACACUGUUUUUCACAGUGGCUGCACCAUUUUACAUUCUCACCAGCAAC